This 597-nucleotide ribosomal RNA is filed under the name uncultured Actinomycetes bacterium. RNAcentral describes it as "bacterial SSU rRNA". It matches the Rfam family "Bacterial small subunit ribosomal RNA", at positions 258 to 865 of the family's 1533-position model. The record is from RNAcentral. Lineage: Bacteria; Bacillati; Actinomycetota; Actinomycetes.
UAGUGGCCUACCAAGGCGACGACGGGUAGCCGGCCUGAGAGGGUGACCGGCCGCACUGGGACUGAGACACGGCCCAGACUCCUACGGGAGGCAGCAGUGGGGAAUAUUGCGCAAUGGGCGGAAGCCUGACGCAGCGACGCCGCGUGGGGGAUGACGGCCUUCGGGUUGUAAACCUCUUUCAGCUCCGACGAAGCGAGAGUGACGGUAGGAGCAGAAGAAGCACCGGCCAACCACGUGCCAGCAGCCGCGGUAAUACGUAGGGUGCAAGCGUUGUCCGGAAUUAUUGGGCGUAAAGAGCUCGUAGGCGGUUCGUCGCGUCGGCUGUGAAAACCUGAGGCUCAACCUCAGGCCUGCAGUCGAUACGGGCGGACUUGAGUGUUGCAGGGGAGACUGGAAUUCCUGGUGUAGCGGUGAAAUGCGCAGAUAUCAGGAGGAACACCGGUGGCGAAGGCGGGUCUCUGGGCAACUACUGACGCUGAGGAGCGAAAGCGUGGGGAGCGAGCAGGAUUAGAUACCCUGGUAGUCCACGCCGUAAACGUUGGGCGCUAGGUGUGGGGGCCAUUCCACGGUCUCCGUGCCGCAGCUAACGCAUUAAGU